This 171-nucleotide non-coding RNA is filed under the name chicken gut metagenome. RNAcentral's name for it is "Lysine riboswitch". It matches the Rfam family "Lysine riboswitch aptamer". From Rfam's summary of the family: Riboswitches are metabolite binding domains within certain messenger RNAs that serve as precision sensors for their corresponding targets. Allosteric rearrangement of mRNA structure is mediated by ligand binding, and this results in modulation of gene expression. The record is from RNAcentral.
UACGAUAGAGGUCGCGUGAUUCAACAGUAUACAGCAGGAUGUGUUCGGCCACAGGUGAUUGCUGAGGAAAGGGGAGAACGCCGAAAGAGAGCAGAGCCGUGUUCUGUGAUCUUGGGCAUAUGGUGAAGAACCAUAUGACUGUCAUCGCGCUGCGAUGGAGGGCUAUCUGAA